UACGUAGGGCGCAAGCGUUGUCCGGAAUUACUGGGCGUAAAGCGCGUGUAGGCUGCCCUGCAAGUCGGAUGUGAAAGCCCUGGGCUCAACCUAGGAAGUGCAUUCGAAACUGCAGGGCUGGAGUCCUGGAGAGGAAGGCGGAAUUCUCGGUGUAGAGGUGAAAUUCGUAGAUAUCGAGAGGAACACCGGUGGCGAAGGCGGCCUUCUGGACAGUGACUGACGCUGAGACGCGAAAGCGUGGGGAUCAAACAGG
Molecule: ribosomal RNA, 253 nt
Filed under: uncultured bacterium
Lineage: Bacteria
Description: partial 16S ribosomal RNA
Rfam family: Bacterial small subunit ribosomal RNA
Source: RNAcentral